AUUAUCCCAAAGUGUUCGUUUUUACUUUAUUUUUGAACCUACAUCAAUACUCAGGGAGUCUGAUUGUUCGCUAGCAGAUGUUAGGCCUCAUUAGAAUCAGUGGAAAACAGAACCUAGAGACAAGACACCCACCUAGCUUUCGCUAGGGCGUCAAAAAUGGAGUACGACACAUUGGGAUAGCA
Molecule: non-coding RNA, 182 nt
Filed under: Bacillota bacterium
Lineage: Bacteria; Bacillati; Bacillota
Description: 6S RNA
Rfam family: 6S / SsrS RNA
About the family: E. coli 6S RNA was the first non coding RNA to be sequenced, but its function was unknown until recently. It consists of 184 nucleotides that fold into an extended hairpin structure with a large single-stranded internal bulge.
Source: RNAcentral